RNAcentral lists this ribosomal RNA (253 nucleotides) under uncultured bacterium. RNAcentral describes it as "partial 16S ribosomal RNA". It matches the Rfam family "Bacterial small subunit ribosomal RNA", at positions 524 to 776 of the family's 1533-position model. The record is from RNAcentral.
GACAGAGGGUGCAAACGUUGCUCGGAAUUACUGGGCGUAAAGCGCGUGUAGGCGGAUUGGUGUGUCAGAUGUGAAAUCCCUGGGCUCAACCCAGGAACUGCACCUGAAACUACCAGUCUUGAGUGGUGGAGAGGGAAGUGGAAUUCCUGGUGUAGAGGUGAAAUUCGUAGAUAUCAGGAGGAACACCAGUGGCGAAGGCGGCUUCCUGGACACUAACUGACGCUGAGACGCGAAAGCGUGGGGAGCAAACAGG